This 72-nucleotide ribosomal RNA is filed under the name Erwinia amylovora. RNAcentral describes it as "partial 23S ribosomal RNA". It matches the Rfam family "Bacterial large subunit ribosomal RNA", at positions 2853 to 2925 of the family's 2925-position model. Lineage: Bacteria; Pseudomonadati; Pseudomonadota; Gammaproteobacteria; Enterobacterales; Erwiniaceae. The record is from RNAcentral. RNAcentral also lists the same sequence under 1 other name.
UGAUAGGCCGGGUGUGUAAGCGCAGCGAUGCGUUGAGCUAACCGGUACUAAUGACCCGUGAGGCUUAACCUU